Molecule: long non-coding RNA, 297 nt
Organism: Monomorium pharaonis (pharaoh ant)
Lineage: Eukaryota; Metazoa; Arthropoda; Insecta; Hymenoptera; Formicidae
Exons: 2
Source: RefSeq, a predicted model, not a curated record
CGUCUACACCUUCACAAGUUGCCAAAAACGUUGGCAAAAAGUGGCCAAAGAACCAUCCUAUAUUAACAGAUGCUAGACUAUGAAUAGCCGUAGCUAUCUCAUCUGCCAAUAAAUUAUGGGACCUAUAUAAAUAAGAAAUGUUCAUCUUCUUCGGGAUGUCCAAGGGUUCGCAAUACUGAGGUAUUAUAAAAAUACUGCCACCGAUGCAUAAGAAUACUAAAACGUAAUACAAAGAUUAUGAUUUUUAAUAUAAAAAUCAAAUAUAUAUGUUAUUAAAAUAUAUUACCUAUGAAAGAG